Molecule: ribosomal RNA, 394 nt
Filed under: Sphenomorphus sp. steerei 5 CWL-2011
Lineage: Eukaryota; Metazoa; Chordata; Lepidosauria; Squamata; Scincidae
Description: partial 12S ribosomal RNA
Rfam family: Bacterial small subunit ribosomal RNA
Source: RNAcentral
GCUUAGCCCUAAACAUAGACAGCAUUAACACAAUACUGUCCGCCAGAGAACUACAAGCGAAAAGCUUGAAACUCCAAGGACUUGGCGGUGCUUCAAACCAACCUAGAGGAGCCUGUCCUAUAAUCGAUACUCCACGUUUCACCUUACCGCCACUAGCCAAUCAGCCUAUAUACCGCCGUCGUCAGCCUACCUUAUGAGAGAAAUAAAGUAAGCAAAAAAGUUAUCAACUAACACGUCAGGUCAAGGUGUAGCACAUGCGGCGGCAGAGAUGGGCUACAUUCUAUCAAAGAAAAAACACGAAUGGGGGAUUGAAAAAUACCCCUAAAGGUGGAUUUAGUAGUAAAAUAUAAAAGAACACACAUUUUAAACCCGCUCUGAAGCGCGCACACACCGC